GCAGUGAGCCGAGAUGGCAGCCCUGCAUUCCAGCCUGGGUGACAGAGUGAGAUUUUGUCUCAAAAAAGACAAAAAAAAAAAAAGUUACAAAUGAAAUGGGAUUAUACACCAAGGGCAGAACGCUUCCUAGACAGUGAAAGUGGUGUGAAGGGUUGGGAGACAAGAACUCCCCGUAAGCGAGCACCUCUGUGUGUCACACCGUGUGGCAGGCAACCAUUCUCUAACUCCCCACAGUCACCCCUGAGGUAGGUGUGCUGUGGCUGGGAUGGGGAGGGGGGCUGUCUGCCUUUUACAAGUGAGGAAACCACUGAGCAGCUUAUCUACAGGAUCACAUUUGGUCCUGAGGAAACAGAGGUUAAUGAUUUGCCUGGAGCCGCCAAUGAACAAGUGGCAGCACUGAGGCUGGAAGCCAGGUUUUUUAUUUUGAAGCUCUGAUCCUUUUCAUUGUUUUUUUGAUUUUUUUGUUUUGUCUUUUUAAGAGACAGGGUCUUGCUUCGUCGCCCAGGCUGGAGUGCAGUGGUGCGAUCAUAGCUCACUGCAGCCUCGAACUCCCAAGCUAAAGCCAUCCUCCCACCUCAGCCUCCCAAAGUUCUGGGUCUUGGUCUUUCCAUCUGUGCUGAGCUGCCUUCUUAGCGAAGAUCUGCUCGACUCUUCAGAAUGGGUCCCAUGGUGCCUGCUGGGAUGGGACCUGCUCACCUGUGCAGGGAGUCGGAUCUUGGAUGUGACGCUGCUGCCAGACUCUGCCUCCUCCUGAAUUUCUAGCUCAUCCCAGCUGGUGGCUGUGGCCAGGACUGAGCCAGCAUCAUCUAGAAGUAAUGACUGGGUGAAUCCAUGAAUCAAAACCUGGUAAUAAAAGGCAAAUAUCCAUACAAGCCA
This is a non-coding RNA of Chlorocebus sabaeus (green monkey), 876 nucleotides long. The record is from RefSeq and is a predicted model, not a curated record. Lineage: Eukaryota; Metazoa; Chordata; Mammalia; Primates; Cercopithecidae.